GGCAUUCUCUUUGUUUCUAUUGGCUCGUUCCUCGCCCUCUUCUGAUGUUUUGUACUGCACAAAGUCAUCCCAGAAGGCCCUCAGCUUUACAUAUUGCUUGAGGUUGAAAUCUGGAGUCUCGUUUUUCUUGACAUAUUUAUUGUACAAAGACUUCUUCCAAUUCUGGAAGAGUACUGCCAUCUUCUUCAUAGUCCAGUCAUAAAUUCGCACCUUCAACUCUUCAUCGUUGGUGUCGAAGGUGAAAACGUCUGUGACGGCUUUCCAAACUAACUCCUUGUCACGAUCAGAGACAAAACUGAUCUCAGGAGCACCUCGCUUCUCUCUCCAUUCACGACAACUGAACGGUAUUUGAUCUCUCACAAGAUAUCCACAGUGAUUAACAUAUUUAUUUACAUGCUCACCAAGUGGUCUGCCUGUAGCUAUCUCAAACUCAGAGAUUACAUAGCGGCCCUCCAACGGCUUCUUUGGCCCUCGUGGAGGUACGCUUCUCCCCGUAGAGGUCGAUCCAGAAGGCUACAUGUACAUAUAGAAACAAAAAUACUAAAUUAAUAACCAAGUAAUAAGUCUAAAACCUAAUGUAAGAGAUGCAUUAUUUAUAUAUGUUUACAUUUACAUACCUCACCAGUAUUUUCUUCUUGUUGCACGACAAGUUGUUGCUCAGGGGCAUUGCCCUCUUGUUGCUCAGGGGCAUUGCCCUCUUGUUGCUCAGUAGGAUUGCCUUGCAUGAUGUCGUGGUAAUCAACGAAGUACUGACUACCGUCGUCGAUUAUAUUUUGAAUGGCAACUUCCAUAUAAUCAGGAUCAUCAUGAGGACGGUUAGCCAUUUCUAUGUCUGCAACCAUACAUAUAUAUAUUCUAUAUAAGAUAAGAAAUACACUAAUACUACUACAAAUGAAAGUGUUGGAGUGCUCUAAAAAUAAUACUAGGAUCUUUUAAGCCAAGUAAUACAUUAGAAUAAAAAACAAUACUAGAAUAAUACAUACAUACAAAAAAUAUUACAUAUAUAUGUGUGUGUAUAUGUAAAAAAAUAAUAUACAUACAUACAAAAAAUAAUACAUAUAUAAAAAAAUAGAACAUACAUACAUACUAUAUAUAUACUAGAAUAAUAUAUUAAAAAAAUAAUACAUACAUACAUACAUACAAACAAUUAUAAUUCAUACAUACAAACUAUAUAUAUGUGUGUAUAUGUACAAAAAAUAAUAUACAUACAUACAAAAAAUAUUACAUAUAUACAAAAAAUAAAACAUACAUACAUACUAUAUAUAUAUACUAGAAUAAUAUAUUAAAAAAAUAAUACAUACAUACAUACAAACAAUUAUAAUUCAUACAUACAAACUAUAUAUGUGUGUGUAUAUGUACAAAAAAUAAUAUACAUACAUACAAAAAAUAAUACAUAUAUAAAAAAAAUAAAACAUACAUACAUACUAUAUAUAUACUAGAAUAAUAUAUUAAAAAAAUAAUACAUACAUACAUACAAACAAUUAUAAUUCAUACAUACAAACUAUAUAUAUGUGUGUGUAUAUGUACAAAAAAUAAUAUACAUACAUACAAAAAAUAUUACAUAUAUACAAAAAAUAAAACAUACAUACAAAAAAAUUACAUAUAUAUACAAAAAAAAUAUAUACAAAAAAUUACAUAUAUACAUACUAUAUAUACUAGAAAUAUAUACAAAAAAUUACAUAUAUAUAAAAAAAUAUAUAUACAUACUAUAUAUAAUAUACAUACUAUAUAUAAUACUACAAAUCAAAACACCAUAUAUAUAAUAUACAUAUACACAAAAAAAAUUACAUAUAUAUACAUAAAAAUAUAUACAAAAAAUAAUACUACAAAUCAAAACACCAUAUAUACAUAUAUAUAUAUAUAUGUAUAUAUAUGGUGUUUUUAUUUGUAAUAUUAUUUUUUUUAUAUAUUUUUAUGUAUAUAUAUGUAAUAUUUUUUGUGUGUAUAUAUAUAUAUUUCUCUGGUCUAGUGUAUAUAAAUACGUAAUUAAUCAAUGGCGUCGUUCUCGAUCUAUACUUAGCACACAGCCGGCCGGAGAAGAUCGCGCGUGGGGA
This 2054-nucleotide long non-coding RNA is filed under the name Sorghum bicolor (sorghum). RNAcentral's name for it is "long non-coding RNA (SBIC_LNC008998)". The record is from RNAcentral. Lineage: Eukaryota; Viridiplantae; Streptophyta; Magnoliopsida; Poales; Poaceae.